CCUACGGGUGGCAGCAGUGGGGGAUAUUGCACAAUGGGGGGAACCCUGAUGCAGCGACGCCGCGUGGGUGAAGGAGUGCUUCUGCAUGUAAAGCCUUAUCGGCAUGGAAGAAGCAUGACGGUACCUUACUAAGAAUCCCCUGCUAACUACGUGCCAGCAGCCGCGGUAAUACGUAGGGGGCGAGCGUUAUCCGGAUUCACUGGGUGUAAAGGGAGCGUAGACGGCCAUGCAAGCCAGGGGUGAAAGCGCGGGGCCCAACCCCGAGACUGCCCUUGAAACUGCAUGGCUGGAGUGCGGGAGGGGCAAUCGGAAUGCCGUGUGUAGCGGUGAAAUGCGUAGAUAUACGGAGGAACACCAGUGGCGAAGGCGGAUUGCUGGACAGUAACUGACGCUGAGGCGCGAAAGCGUGGGGAGCAAACAGGAUUAGAUACCCUAGUAGUC
Molecule: ribosomal RNA, 441 nt
Filed under: uncultured bacterium
Lineage: Bacteria
Description: partial 16S ribosomal RNA
Rfam family: Bacterial small subunit ribosomal RNA
Source: RNAcentral